CCUACGGGUGGCAGCAGUGGGGGAUAUUGCACAAUGGGGGAAACCCUGAUGCAGCGACGCCGCGUGAGGGAAGAAGGAUUUCGGUGUGUAAAGCUCUAUCAGCCGGGAAGAAAAUGACAGUACCUGACCAAGAAUCCCCGUCUAACUACGUGCCAGCAGCCGCGGUAAUGCGUAGGGUGCAAGCGUUAUCCGGAUUUACUGGGUGUAAAGGGAGCGUAGACGGUUCUGUAAGUCUGGAGUGAAAUCCCUGGGCCCAACCCCGGGACUGCCUUUGAAACUGUGUAACUGGAGUACAGGAGGGGUAGGCGGAAUGCGUGGUGUAGCGGUGAAAUGCGUAGAUAUCAGGAGGAACACUGGCGGCGAAGGCGGCCUGCUGGACUGAAACUGACGUUGAGGCUCGAAAGCGUGGGGAGCAAACAGGAUUAGAUACCCCAGUAGUC
Molecule: ribosomal RNA, 440 nt
Filed under: uncultured bacterium
Lineage: Bacteria
Description: partial 16S ribosomal RNA
Rfam family: Bacterial small subunit ribosomal RNA
Source: RNAcentral